UACGAAGGGGGCGAGCGUUGUUCGGAUUUACUGGGCGUAAAGGGCGCGUAGGCGGCCCUCCUUGUCGCGUGUGAAAGCCCCGGGCUCAACCUGGGAAUUGCGCGCGAAACGGGGGGGCUUGAGUUCGGGAGAGGAGCGUGGAAUUCCCAGUGUAGAGGUGAAAUUCGUAGAUAUUGGGAAGAACACCGGUGGCGAAGGCGGCAUCCUGGACCAAUAUUGACGCUGAGGAGCGAAAGCCAGGGGAGCAAACGGG
Molecule: ribosomal RNA, 253 nt
Filed under: uncultured bacterium
Lineage: Bacteria
Description: partial 16S ribosomal RNA
Rfam family: Bacterial small subunit ribosomal RNA
Source: RNAcentral